AAACCCUAAAACAUACAUCAGCCGCAGACACCCUCCCUCAUCUUCCCGGUCACCGGAGUAGAGGUCCGACCAACACUUCUGGCGACGCACCUAUACCCACGAAACCCCUUGUGUACCCUCCUCCACACACACAUGUAUCCCGAACUGUUAAGAGUGAAAGAGAACAUAGAGAGAGAGAUCAGAUGAGAGUGAAGGGAAGCAAUAGCGAGAGAGUGUGAGGGCAGAAAGGCGAAGAGGUGCGACGGAAGUUGACGGCAAAGCCGUUUUCCCAUUCACCGGUGGCGACGGCAGACCCGAGAGCCGAUCCCCGACCAGUUUCAUGACGGCAGAGGGAGUGGUGGUCAUUGGUGGUGUACGGAACGACGGAUGUGACGUCGACAACCAAGAAUUUUAACCUCGGUGACGUAGCAGCUACGGUGAGAACGAUGCCGAUGUCAGACAGCGGUAACAGUCGCCAAAGCUCCGACUCAGGCCUACGACAGUGGCAGCAGACACCUUAUUUUUUCAUCUUAAUGGUCUUGCGGAUGGGGUUGACCAAAUUAGGACAAAUGCAUUAUCUACCGAGCAACCAAAGGACCUUAGGUACAUAUGGAGCUUGCACAGGGAGGAGCAGGUCGUUGUGGG
Helianthus annuus (common sunflower) is the source of this 624-nucleotide long non-coding RNA. RefSeq lists it as uncharacterized. The record is from RefSeq and is a predicted model, not a curated record. The transcript has 3 exons. Lineage: Eukaryota; Viridiplantae; Streptophyta; Magnoliopsida; Asterales; Asteraceae.